UCUAAAGUAGCUUAGUUGAGAGAGCAUUAGACUGAAAAUCUAAAGGUUCCUGGUUCAAUCCCAGGCUUUGAGAG
This is a non-coding RNA of Gopherus evgoodei (Goodes thornscrub tortoise), 74 nucleotides long. The record is from the annotation of a RefSeq genome assembly. Lineage: Eukaryota; Metazoa; Chordata; Testudines; Testudinidae.